AUUGAACGCUGGCGGCAUGCCUUACACAUGCAAGUCGAACGGCAGCACGGGUGCUUGCACCUGGUGGCGAGUGGCGAACGGGUGAGUAAUACAUCGGAACAUAUCCUGUCGUGGGGGAUAGCCCGGCGAAAGCCGGAUUAAUACCGCAUACGAUCUACGGAUGAAAGCGGGGGACCUUCGGGCCUCGCGCUAUAGGGUUGGCCGAUGGCUGAUUAGCUAGUUGGUGGGGUAAAGGCCUACAAAGGCGACGAUCAGUAGAUGGUCUGAGAGGACGACCAGCCACACUGGGACUGAGACACGGCCCAGACUCCUACGGGAGGCAGCAGUGGGGAAUUUUGGACAAUGGGCGAAAGCCUGAUCCAGCAAUGCCGCGUGUGUGAAGAAGGCCUUCGGGUUGUAAAGCACUUUUGUCCGGAAAGAAAUCCUUGGCUCUAAUACAGUCGGGGGAUGACGGUACCGGAAGAAUAAGCACCGGCUAACUACGUG
Molecule: ribosomal RNA, 486 nt
Filed under: uncultured bacterium
Lineage: Bacteria
Description: partial 16S ribosomal RNA
Rfam family: Bacterial small subunit ribosomal RNA
Source: RNAcentral